UUAUAAGAGACAGCAGCAGCCACGGUAAUACGAGGGGUGCAAGCGUUAUUCGGAUUGAUUGGGUGUAAAGGGUGUGCAGACGGCUUAUUAAGUCACUUGUUAAAUUCUUCGGCCUAACUGAAGGUCUGCAAGUGAUACUGAUGAGCUAGAGGGUGGAAGAGAGAAGUGGAAUUCUCGGAGUAGCGGUAAAAUGCGUAGAUCUCGAGAGGAACACCAAUGGCGAAGGCAGCUUCUUGGUCCAUUCCUGACGUUCAUACACGAAAGCGUGGGGAGCAAACAGGAUUAGAUACCCCAGUAGUCCCUGUCUCUUAUAC
RNAcentral lists this ribosomal RNA (314 nucleotides) under uncultured bacterium. RNAcentral's name for it is "partial 16S ribosomal RNA". It matches the Rfam family "Bacterial small subunit ribosomal RNA", at positions 495 to 807 of the family's 1533-position model. The record is from RNAcentral.